Molecule: ribosomal RNA, 381 nt
Filed under: uncultured Citrobacter sp.
Lineage: Bacteria; Pseudomonadati; Pseudomonadota; Gammaproteobacteria; Enterobacterales; Enterobacteriaceae
Description: SSU rRNA
Rfam family: Bacterial small subunit ribosomal RNA
Source: RNAcentral
AACGCGAAGAACCUUACCUACUCUUGACAUCCAGAGAACUUAGCAGAGAUGCUUUGGUGCCUUCGGGAACUCUGAGACAGGUGCUGCAUGGCUGUCGUCAGCUCGUGUUGUGAAAUGUUGGGUUAAGUCCCGCAACGAGCGCAACCCUUAUCCUUUGUUGCCAGCGGUUCGGCCGGGAACUCAAAGGAGACUGCCAGUGAUAAACUGGAGGAAGGUGGGGAUGACGUCAAGUCAUCAUGGCCCUUACGAGUAGGGCUACACACGUGCUACAAUGGCAUAUACAAAGAGAAGCGACCUCGCGAGAGCAAGCGGACCUCAUAAAGUAUGUCGUAGUCCGGAUUGGAGUCUGCAACUCGACUCCAUGAAGUCGGAAUCGCUAGU